Molecule: ribosomal RNA, 388 nt
Filed under: uncultured bacterium
Lineage: Bacteria
Description: bacterial SSU rRNA
Rfam family: Bacterial small subunit ribosomal RNA
Source: RNAcentral
GACGAACGCUGGCGGCGUGCUUAACACAUGCAAGUCGAGCGGUAAGGCCCUUUCGGGGGUACGACGAGCGGCGAACGGGUGAGUAACACGUGGGUGACCUGCCCUCAGCUCUGGGAGUAAGCCCGGGAAACUGGGUCUAAUACCGGAUAUGACUCCAUGACGCAUGUUGUGGGGUGGAAAGCCUUGUGCGGCUGAGGAUGGGCCCGCGGCCUAUCAGCUUGUUGGUGGGGUGAUGGCCACCAAGGCGACGACGGGUAGCCGGCCUGAGAGGGCGACCGGCCACACUGGGACUGAGACGCGGCCCAGACUCCUACGGGAGGCAGCAGUGGGGAAUCUUGCGCAAUGGGCGAAAGCCUGACGCAGCGACGCCGCGUGAGGGAUGACGGCC